GAUGAACGCUGGCGGCGUGCCUAAUACAUGCAAGUCGAGCGAACAGACGAGGAUCUUGCUCCUCUGACGUUAGCGGCGGACGGGUGAGUAACACGUGGAUAACCUACCUAUAAGACUGGUAUAACUUCGGGAAACCUGAGCUAAUACCGGAUAAUAUAUUGAACCUCAUGGUUCAAUAGUGUAAUACGGUUUUUCUGUCACUUAUUGAUUGAUCCGCGCCGCAUUAGCUAGUUGGUAAGGUAACGGCUUACCAAGGCAACGAUGCGUAGCCGACCUGAUAGGGUGAUCGACCACACUGGAAGAGAGAAACGGUACAGACUCCUAGGGGAGGAAGCAGUAGGGAAUCUUACGAAAUGGGGGAAAGGCUGACGGAGCAAAGCCGGGUGAGGGAUGAAGGUCUUAGGAUCGUAAAACUAUGUUAUUAGGGAAGAAGAAAAGUGUAAGUAACUAUGAACGUAUUGACGGUACCUAAACAGAAAGCCACGGCUAACUACGUG
RNAcentral lists this ribosomal RNA (497 nucleotides) under uncultured bacterium. RNAcentral's name for it is "partial 16S ribosomal RNA". It matches the Rfam family "Bacterial small subunit ribosomal RNA", at positions 28 to 507 of the family's 1533-position model. The record is from RNAcentral.